AUGGUCGACUGAAGGCUGUGAUACAAGACAUGAUGAUGUUACGCAGGGCGUAACUUGCUUGAGCAAUCACUUAACUUCCUUUGCAAUCCUAAUGCAAACCAGAAAGGAAGAUGUACAGAAAGAGGCAGAUAAAGUCGGCUUGGAAGUAAUUACGUACGUAGGAUUAUCUGUGUCAACAGCAUUCCUGCUCUUUACCCUCGGUAUAAUAUCUGGCCUAAGAGAGUUGAGAAAAUCACGGCGUUACAAAAUUCUGAGGAAUACUGUCAUAUCCUUGCUUUGUACAAACUUUUGCUUUUAUAUUAUUGUCGUCAAUAUUAAGAACAAG
This is a long non-coding RNA of Anneissia japonica, 325 nucleotides long. RefSeq lists it as uncharacterized. The record is from RefSeq and is a predicted model, not a curated record. Lineage: Eukaryota; Metazoa; Echinodermata; Crinoidea; Comatulida; Comatulidae. The transcript has 3 exons.